RNAcentral lists this ribosomal RNA (239 nucleotides) under uncultured bacterium. Its description in RNAcentral is "partial 16S ribosomal RNA". It matches the Rfam family "Bacterial small subunit ribosomal RNA", at positions 524 to 761 of the family's 1533-position model. The record is from RNAcentral.
UACGAAGGGGGCUAGCGUUGCUCGGAAUCACUGGGCGUAAAGGGUGCGUAGGCGGGUCUUUAAGUCAGGGGUGAAAUCCUGGAGCUCAACGUCCAGAACUGCCUUUGAUACUGAGGAUCUUGAGUUCGGGAGAGGUGAGUGGAACUGCGAGUGUAGAGGUGAAAUUCGUAGAUAUUCGCAAGAACACCAGUGGCGAAGGCGGCUCACUGGCCCGGUACUGACGCUGAGGUGACGAAGCG